This 454-nucleotide ribosomal RNA is filed under the name uncultured bacterium. Its description in RNAcentral is "bacterial SSU rRNA". It matches the Rfam family "Bacterial small subunit ribosomal RNA", at positions 898 to 1352 of the family's 1533-position model. The record is from RNAcentral.
AACUCAAAAGGAAUUGACGGGGACCCGCACAAGCGGUGGAGCAUGUGGUUUAAUUCGAAGCAACGCGAAGAACCUUACCUAGUCUUGACAUCCCAAUGACCGGACAGUAAUGUGUCCUUUCCUUCGGGACAUUGGUGACAGGUGGUGCAUGGUUGUCGUCAGCUCGUGUCGUGAGAUGUUGGGUUAAGUCCCGCAACGAGCGCAACCCUUAUCUUUAGUAGCCAGCAGUAAGAUGGGCACUCUAGAGAGACUGCCAGGGAUAACCUGGAGGAAGGUGGGGAUGACGUCAAAUCAUCAUGCCCCUUAUGACUAGGGCUACACACGUGCUACAAUGGCGUAAACAAAGAGAAGCAAUCACGUGAGUGCAAGCAAAUCUCAAAAAUAACGUCUCAGUUCGGAUUGUAGUCUGCAACUCGACUACAUGAAGCUGGAAUCGCUAGUAAUCGCGAAUCAG